Molecule: ribosomal RNA, 514 nt
Filed under: Salmonella enterica subsp. enterica serovar Typhimurium
Lineage: Bacteria; Pseudomonadati; Pseudomonadota; Gammaproteobacteria; Enterobacterales; Enterobacteriaceae
Description: partial 23S ribosomal RNA
Rfam family: Bacterial large subunit ribosomal RNA
Source: RNAcentral
AAGCGACUAAGCGUACACGGUGGAUGCCCUGGCAGUCAGAGGCGAUGAAGGGCGUGCUAAUCUGCGAUAAGCGCCGGUAAGGUGAUAUGAACCGUUAUAACCGGCGAUACCCGAAUGGGGAAACCCAGUGUGAUUCGUCACACUAUCAUUAACUGAAUCCAUAGGUUAAUGAGGCGAACCGGGGGAACUGAAACAUCUAAGUACCCCGAGGAAAAGAAAUCAACCGAGAUUCCCCCAGUAGCGGCGAGCGAACGGGGAGGAGCCCAGAGCCUGAAUCAGCAUGUGUGUUAGUGGAAGCGUCUGGAAAGGCGCGCGAUACAGGGUGACAGCCCCGUACACAAAAGCGCAUGUGCUGUGAGCUCGAUGAGUAGGGCGGGACACGUGGUAUCCUGUCUGAAUAUGGGGGGACCAUCCUCCAAGGCUAAAUACUCCUGACUGACCGAUAGUGAACCAGUACCGUGAGGGAAAGGCGAAAAGAACCCCGGCGAGGGGAGUGAAAAAGAACCUGAAACCG